UAUUGGACAAUGGGCGCAAGCCUGAUCCAGCCAUACCGCGUGGGUGAAGAAGGCCUUCGGGUUGUAAAGCCCUUUUGUUGGGAAAGAAAUCCUGUUGAUUAAUACUCGGCAGGGAUGACGGUACCCAAAGAAUAAGCACCGGCUAACUUCGUGCCAGCAGCCGCGGUAAUACGAAGGGUGCAAGCGUUACUCGGAAUUACUGGGCGUAAAGCGUGCGUAGGUGGUUCGUUAAGUCUGAUGUGAAAGCCCUGGGCUCAACCUGGGAAUUGCAUUGGAUACUGGCGGGCUAGAGUACGGUAGAGGGUGGCGGAAUUCCUGGUGUAGCAGUGAAAUGCGUAGAUAUCAGGAGGAACAUCCGUGGCGAAGGCGGCCACCUGGACCAGUACUGACACUGAGGCACGAAAGCGUGGGGAGC
RNAcentral lists this ribosomal RNA (415 nucleotides) under uncultured bacterium. RNAcentral describes it as "bacterial SSU rRNA". It matches the Rfam family "Bacterial small subunit ribosomal RNA", at positions 362 to 769 of the family's 1533-position model. The record is from RNAcentral.